Molecule: ribosomal RNA, 305 nt
Filed under: uncultured bacterium
Lineage: Bacteria
Description: bacterial SSU rRNA
Rfam family: Bacterial small subunit ribosomal RNA
Source: RNAcentral
UUGUGCCUACGGGGGGCAGCAGUGAGGAAUAUUGGUCAAUGGGCGGGAGCCUGAACCAGCCAAGUCGCGUGAGGGAAGAAGGUACUGAGUAUUGUAAACCUCUUUUGCCAGGGGACAAAGGCGGCCACGGGUGGCCGUAAGAGGGUACCUGGAGAAAAAGCAUCGGCUAACUCCGUGCCAGCAGCCGCGGUAAUACGGAGGAUGCGAGCGUUAUCCGGAUUUAUUGGGUUUAAAGGGUGCGUAGGCGGGCUUUUAAGUCAGCGGUAAAAAUUCGGGGCUCAACCCCGUCCGGCCGUUGAAACUGG